This is a long non-coding RNA of Suricata suricatta (meerkat), 999 nucleotides long. RefSeq lists it as uncharacterized. The record is from RefSeq and is a predicted model, not a curated record. The transcript has 3 exons. Lineage: Eukaryota; Metazoa; Chordata; Mammalia; Carnivora; Herpestidae.
CCACCCUGUUUCAGAAACCACUUUGUGGACAAACACAUGCAACCCCUUCCACAGAGGACCUUCCUUGGCGGGGGCCCCUCAAGCCUCAGUUUCGUCCUCUGUAAGGAGGGUCUAGCAACACACACCUCAUAGGGCUGCUGAGAGAUCAAAAUGAGAUGAGGAGAUAGAUGCAUGCAGUAGGCACUCAACAUCUGCUCUCUCAAAGAAGUAUUUACCAACUCAAACUUGUAACAUUCUUCAGGGAAGCUGGUGGGGUGGAGGCGGUGGCUCCUGCUAGGUGUUCACAACUCAAGAUACCCAAGGACAGAAGAGUGGCCUAUUCUCACAGUGGGCCACGAGGCAAAGGAGGCUGACUCUGGGCUGUGGUCACCUCAGCCAUGCAGGCAGCCAGCCAGUGACCAGAGGGGACACUUGGGCAUCAUCCCUGCCCCAGCCAGCCUUUGUCCCAAAGCUUCUCUUCUUUCCCUGUGGAAAGUUCGAGAGGAAUGUGGAUGUCCAGCUUCUGCCCUGAAGCCAGCUUGACAGGGCAGCUUACAGGUGAGAAAACUGAGGUUUGGAGCGGGUGCCCGGCUUGCCCAUCGCCACACAGCUGGGAGCAGAACUGGGACUGGAGCCAGAUAUGUGUCCUCUCCGCUGCCCUAGUCACUCAGGAUGCCAAUGCACCAAGUUUACCAACUCUCAAGUCCUAUCUUCAAGCAAGUCCACAGGAAGAAGCAAGGGGAAAACCUUCCCUUGUCUGAAGAACCUAGCAUCCUGAAGUUCCACAUCCUUUUGUGAAGCUUCCUGCCUACUCUCCAGGUCCUGUGGGGGAAUGGCCUCAGGGGCAGCUUCACAAAGUAGGGGGAAAGGAGCACAGAGGAAACCUGCCAGAGGUCCAGCCCUGCCCAGGAGCGGCUCUCCUUAAACACAAAGCAUCCCCAGGAAGGAAGGCAACAGAAAUGGGCUUCUAAUGUCACGUAAGGGAUGCAGAAGAAAUUACUGUGAAAAAAAAAAUGUAUU